CGGUUGGGCCUUUCAGGCAUCCUCUCCCAAACUUUUCAGGGCCGCCCGGCAACGGUGCGGCCCAUUUUUUGGCUGAGA
Molecule: small RNA, 78 nt
Filed under: Novosphingobium taihuense
Lineage: Bacteria; Pseudomonadati; Pseudomonadota; Alphaproteobacteria; Sphingomonadales; Sphingomonadaceae
Description: suhB
Rfam family: Makes More Granules Regulator RNA (mmgR)
About the family: SuhB later renamed mmgR (makes more granules regulator) was a putative non-coding RNA found multiple times in the Agrobacterium tumefaciens genome and related alpha-proteobacteria. Other non-coding RNAs uncovered in the same analysis include: speF, ybhL, metA, and serC.
Source: RNAcentral